Molecule: ribosomal RNA, 484 nt
Filed under: uncultured bacterium
Lineage: Bacteria
Description: partial 16S ribosomal RNA
Rfam family: Bacterial small subunit ribosomal RNA
Source: RNAcentral
AUUGAACGCUGGCGGCAUGCUUUACACAUGCAAGUCGAACGGCAGCGCGGGCUUCGGCCUGGCGGCGAGUGGCGAACGGGUGAGUAAUACAUCGGAACGUGCCCAGUAGUGGGGGAUAGCUCGGCGAAAGCCGGAUUAAUACCGCAUACGACCUGAGGGUGAAAGCGGGGGAUCUUCGGACCUCGCGCUAUUGGAGCGGCCGAUGGCAGAUUAGCUAGUUGGUGGGGUAAAGGCCUACCAAGGCGACGAUCUGUAGCUGGUCUGAGAGGACGACCAGCCACACUGGGACUGAGACACGGCCCAGACUCCUACGGGAGGCAGCAGUGGGGAAUUUUGGACAAUGGGCGAAAGCCUGAUCCAGCAAUGCCGCGUGUGUGAUGAAGGCCUUCGGGUUGUAAAGCACUUUUGGCGGGAACGAAAAGGACUGUGCCAAUACCAAGGUUCGAUGACGGUACCCGCAGAAUAAGCACCGGCUAACUACGUG